AUGGCUGGCCGGGGACCAGACCUCGACAGGAACGUGUUGCCCUUUGAGCCGGUGUUCUUUGACCUCGAGAAUGGCAACCAGGAGCUCAAGAGCGACGUCAAGGACCUCUACAUCAACCUCGGGCAAGUAACGACAUGUUUGAAGUGGAAAUGGAGAGCAGCGCACGCCGCGGUGGUCAAGGGCUUAGUGCCUGUUGACCUCGUCCGUGGCCGCUGUUGGUCGAUGAAGGAGGCAUGCAUGAGGUGGUGCAAGGGCAUGCUGGUGACGGAGUCGCGCAUCAUGAGGCCGGGUGAGUAA
RNAcentral lists this ribosomal RNA (297 nucleotides) under Triticum aestivum (bread wheat). Its description in RNAcentral is "partial small subunit ribosomal RNA". Lineage: Eukaryota; Viridiplantae; Streptophyta; Magnoliopsida; Poales; Poaceae. The record is from RNAcentral.